GAUGAAGAACGCAGCGAAAUGCGAUAAGUAAUGUGAAUUGCAGAAUUCAGUGAAUCAUCGAAUCUUUGAACGCACCUUGCACCCUUUGGCAUUCCGAAGGGUAUGCUCGUUUGAGUGUCAUUGUACUCUCACACUCUCCGAUCCUAUGGAUUCGGGGAGCGGUGGACUUGGGUGUUGCUGCCUUUCCUUGUGGCUCACCUCAAAUGUGUCAGUGCACCUCUUGGUUGGACAUAGUACGGCGUGAUAAGUGUCUUCGCCGGCACCUCGCAAGAGGGUGGCCGAUCGGGAGCUCUGUGCUUUCAAACCGUCUUCGGACAAUUUCUGACAACUUGACCUCAGAUCGAGUAGGACUACCCGCUGAACUUAAGCAUAUCAAUAAGCGGAGGA
RNAcentral lists this unclassified non-coding RNA (387 nucleotides) under soil metagenome. RNAcentral's name for it is "partial contains 5.8S ribosomal RNA, internal transcribed spacer 2, and large subunit ribosomal RNA". The stretch from base 1 to 120 matches the Rfam family "5.8S ribosomal RNA", at positions 35 to 154 of the family's 154-position model. The record is from RNAcentral.